RNAcentral lists this ribosomal RNA (478 nucleotides) under uncultured bacterium. RNAcentral's name for it is "partial 16S ribosomal RNA". It matches the Rfam family "Bacterial small subunit ribosomal RNA", at positions 28 to 523 of the family's 1533-position model. The record is from RNAcentral.
GACGAACGCUGGCGGCGUGCUUAACACAUGCAAGUCGAACGGUAAGGCCCUUCGGGGUACACGAGUGGCGAACGGGUGAGUAACACGUGGGUGAUCUGCCCUGCACUUCGGGAUAAGCCUGGGAAACUGGGUCUAAUACCGGAUAGGACCACUGCCUGCAGGGGGGGUGGUGGAAAGCUUUUGCGGUGUGGGAUGGGCCCGCGGCCUAUCAGCUUGUUGGUGGGGUGAUGGCCUACCAAGGCGACGACGGGUAGCCGGCCAGAGAGGGUGACCGGCCACACUGGGACUGAGAUACGGCCCAGACUCCUACGGGAGGCAGCAGUGGGGAAUAUUGCACAAUGGGCGCAAGCCUGAUGCAGCGACGCCGCGUGAGGGAUGACGGCCUUCGGGUUGUAAACCUCUUUCAGCACCGACGAAGCGCAAGUGACGGUAGGUGCAGAAGAAGGACCGGCCAACUACGUGCCAGCCGCCGCAGUAA